GCGACCCCAGUCAGCGGGAUUACCCGCUGAAUUUAACAUAUCAUA
This 45-nucleotide ribosomal RNA is filed under the name Coprosma obconica. Its description in RNAcentral is "partial 26S ribosomal RNA". Lineage: Eukaryota; Viridiplantae; Streptophyta; Magnoliopsida; Gentianales; Rubiaceae. The record is from RNAcentral.